Molecule: long non-coding RNA, 2189 nt
Organism: Vespa mandarinia (Asian giant hornet)
Lineage: Eukaryota; Metazoa; Arthropoda; Insecta; Hymenoptera; Vespidae
Source: RefSeq, a predicted model, not a curated record
CAAGUAGAUGGAAAUAAACAGAGAAAAGAAAAUAAUGUCAAGACUUAUUUACUACAUAUAUUUUUGAAAGGAUGUUCUAAGAUCUGUUAACGAAUGUGAAGUAUCAAGAAGAGAGCUAGUUUUGUAUAUACGAUGAAUACUAUGGGUUCCACUAAAAGUACAAGUCUCUACCGGUUUCCCUACCACUGCUCUCAUUUUGGAUUCGCGUGCGCCAACAGCUUUUCACGGGGCUUCAUCGUCCUUCUAUUUACAGGUGCUACUGUAUGAAACUUUUUUUUCUCGAAAAAUAUGAAAAACAAUAUUUAGACCAAUAAUGAAAACAGGCGUAAUUCUUAAGCAUAGUUUUGAUAAACGCGGAGCAUGGAAUUAUGGCUAGUAAAUUUAUAUAGUGGAGGAAUGAAUUGAUUGACACGGUUGUUGAUCAUGCAGCUAAUGGAAGAGAAGUUGUUCUGUUUUUGAUUAUUAUUGCACAAUUUGUGGAGUCAUGAAUGAAUCAAUCUUUGUUUCGAUAAAAUAAAAGAACUAAAAUCGAUUUAGGGUUUUAUUGUUAAUUUGCAUUCAUUUGUAUUUUGUGAUUUCAAUUAAAUUUUAGAAGCAUGUUUAUUUUAAUAGAUUGUGCACAAAGCAGUCAUUAAAUCAGUGUUUGUUCGUAUAAAGUUUUAUUAAUGUUUCUAUUUUGUUUUUUUACAGUUCGAUAGAUAUAUAUAUAUAUAUCUAUACUUUAUAUGUGAAACAUCCAAUUGAAUAAAAUUUUUGGUGUCUCAUGAACAAUAAAUAAUUAUCGCGUAUUAAAGGCAAUGCACCAUGGAAGACGAUCAAGGAGCUAGUAUAUUUCUUCUAUAGAAGUAUAGCAAAAUCUACUGCAACUUCAACCUACUACAUUUUCAAUUUACUUUGAUGUAAAUAUAUCUUAUUUUUAACUUAUUACGAGUCAAUCUACUCUAAUUUCAACCUACAAUAAGGAUGAAUGUUUUGGAACGUGGAAUUUCUUAAAUAAGAUCAAACAGUCGAAGAAAGAAGGAAAAGGAAAGAGCAUUCAAUUGGAUACUGCAAAUUCCUUGGGGUUUUUUAGGCCAUAGUUUUCUUUCCAAGCGAAGCGGAUUCAUGCUACAGAUGAAUGCCAAAUCGCUCAUCAGUUGGGAAAUGAUCAUGGCAGUUUACAACCUCCCCAUACCAAUGGUAUUCUAAAUGAUGGAAAAAAUAAGAGGGAAAAAGCCUAAAAAAGGACCUCUGCCGAAGAUAAAGCUAAGAGACGAAUUUUGCCAAAUCCUUGAUGACUUGGUUAUUAGGACAAAGAAAUUUGAAAUACGAAUGAUUUAGCAAAUAAGCAGGUGUUGUCAAUGAGGAAUUCUAGAGCUGAAGGUUUGUGAUAUGGAGAAGUUAGCAGAAAACCUCUUAGUGAAAACUCUUAGUGCAAUUUUUAGUGCGAAAAGGACCAUAAUAAUUGACUCCAACAUUUGAGAAGGAUUUAGUCUUAUUCACAUGAAUAUUGACCCUGAAUGUAAAUACGAGGAGAUUUAUUUUCUUUAUUUGUUUUUGGUGUUACCUGUUGGUGUAGCAUCGAUUUCAGAGAGGAUACUGUAUGAGUUGUGUGUCGGUAUAUCUUGUAGCCACAUUUCGAACUGAUGGAACGUGUGUGAAUUUGACAUAUUUGUAAUUGUAUUAGAUUUGCUCUUUUUGCUAGUAAAUAGAGACUCAGCUCGGUAGAUUGAAGCAUUAGUGGACAUGUAGACAUCCUUUACUUGGUUAUUUGAUGUGUUCCGUAUGGAGUAGAUGUCUCCCAAUAUUGAGACUUUUAGGUUUAUUGGUGGCAUAUUUGAACCAGCGACCAUACGACUACUGUCUCAGUAUGCCUACUGUCUCACUGCCCCGAGAUAAUUAAUAAAGAGGUCGUUAAUGUACGUUACAAGAACUAUAAACAAAAACAAGGCACGAAUAAUAGGAAAUACGUCUAUCCUGUACAAAUUUAGCGAAUAGAAUGAAAUAAUAAGUAGAUACGUAUAGAUCACCUCGAUCAAUGCCCCCACGUAAGUUGUGUUGCUGGCAACUGCAUUAUACUUUUUAAUUCUAAAUUUUUUUUUAUCUCUUCAUAGAAUUCUUUUCGAAUCCAUCAUUCCAGUAUCAUUUCAAUUACUUAAAAGUUACACAGUUCCCUUGUCCUUUCAAGCUAAAAAUGUAAUUUUUCCUUU